AAUGAACGCUGGCGGCGUGCGUAACACAUGCAAGUCGAACGAGAAAAUUUCCGGGCUUUUGCUCGGGAGAGUAAAGUGGCGAACGGGUGAGUAACGCGUGGGUAACCUGCCCCUGAAUCUGGAAUAACUUCGCGAAAGCGAGGCUAAUACCGGAUAUUGUCCCAGGGACCUCGGUCUCUGUGAUGAAAGAUGACCUCUUCACGAAAGUUGUCGUUCAGGGGAGGGGCCCCGCGUACCAUUAGCUAGUUGGUAGGGUAAUGGCCUACCAAGGCGAUGAUGGUUAGCUGGUCUGAGAGGAUGACCAGCCACACUGGCACUGAAACACGGGCCAGACUCCUACGGGAGGCAGCAGUGAGGAAUUUUGCGCAAUAGGGGAAACCCUGACGCAGCAACGCCGCGUGAGUGAAGAAGGCCCUCGGGUCGUAAAGCUCUGUCAAGUGGGAAAAAGCUUGCUGGUAAAUAGCCAGCAAGACUGAUGGUACCAUUGAAGGAAGCACCGGCUAACUCCGUGCCAGCAGCCGCGGUAA
RNAcentral lists this ribosomal RNA (527 nucleotides) under uncultured prokaryote. RNAcentral describes it as "bacterial SSU rRNA". It matches the Rfam family "Bacterial small subunit ribosomal RNA", at positions 29 to 523 of the family's 1533-position model. The record is from RNAcentral.